CUUCUCUCCUAAACAAAUCGAGCGCUGCUCGGUGCUCGCCCUGCCUCUGCCCUCACAACAUCCGCCGGCCGCCGCCAACUCCUUGCGCCCUUCUAUCGGCGGCCACUCUACUUCACUGCGGUUGCAGCCAGUUUGCCGGUCGGUGCGCCUAUUCGUGCAUGGGCAAAAGGUAGCUGCGAUGGCUCUCAAGUGGUGCAUUCGUCAUGCUGGCGUUCCAAAGCUCGCUGGUGAGGAACCAGCCAUUUUCUUUUUCCAGCCUGUACGCGAGCCAUCGCCCAGCUCUAGCUGCACCCAUCCUCUCGCUUACUAGUGCGACCGUGGGGAGGCCCUCCUAUGUGCCCGUCGGUGCCUCCUCCGUGUCGACCCCUCAUGCUUACCAGGUCACGUACGAGGACAUCCACCUUCUUCCUAGAUGUGGCGAUGGUCACCAGGCCAAUUAACAUUCACAGGGCCACCAUCGAGGUCGUCGAGGCAUCGUGCUAGCAUGAAGUUGCAGGUUGCUGCUGACCUGCUUCCUUCUUCGUGCUUGCGGCCGUCGAUCUGGCCAUUCUUGCCAAGUCUGAGGUGAAUGAUUAACAAGAGGGAAUAGUAGAAUUAGCUUUGCUUUUAUCAGCAUUCAGCCAUACUGCUACCGUUGGAUCAGGUAGCUUACAUAAAAAGACAACUCCCAUUAUCUCAUAGUUUGUGUUAUAUACGAUGUUCAGAACAUGGAUACCUGUGUUGUUUAUGUUCAUGACUUAAUUCGCUUUAGCUUUUCA
Panicum virgatum (switchgrass) is the source of this 758-nucleotide long non-coding RNA. RefSeq lists it as uncharacterized. The record is from RefSeq and is a predicted model, not a curated record. NCBI's taxonomy places the organism in Eukaryota, Viridiplantae, Streptophyta, Magnoliopsida, Poales, Poaceae. The transcript has 2 exons.